RNAcentral lists this long non-coding RNA (2166 nucleotides) under Nicotiana tabacum (common tobacco). RNAcentral's name for it is "long non-coding RNA (NTAB_LNC012849)". The record is from RNAcentral. Lineage: Eukaryota; Viridiplantae; Streptophyta; Magnoliopsida; Solanales; Solanaceae.
AACACCCCCCAAACCCUAGAGACCACUCCAAAAUUCCUCAUCUCCUUCAUCACCUAAACCUAGACGCCUACACCCAAAACUAUUUCUGGCGGCACCGCCUCCAAAUAACCUUAAAUGUUCACCAAAUAAUCCCCACCCUCUCUCUCCAAAUCCCUUAACUUUCCCUGUCAAAUCCCCUCUGUCUUUGUCGAUUUUCAGAUCUUGAAACUAAACCCUAGCCGCCGCUUUCCUCCUUCUUGAUUGCUAGAUGGAUUUCACCCGUUUAUGGUUGAAAUUUACAUCAUUCGAAAGCUCUUGAUGAGAGCUAUCCGUUGAUAUAAGUUUCACGCCGUAUCUCGUAGGUCACAUUUUGAUCAAAGUCGUUGUUGACCGUCCAGUUUCUUUCGGCACUCCUUGUUGUUUGGUUUAAAGAUCAAUAGGUAAUUUAUUUCUUUUCUUCUAUUAAGUAAUUUUUCUCUUCUUCCAGUUUUUCGUCGCUCUUCUCAAAUGUUAAAAAUGAUUCAGACCAAUUAGGAUUCAAGAUUAGUUGAUCUCAUAUUUUGCAUGAUUUGGUUAAUAUUUAAUUAUAUGGUAGUUAAUUUAAUUGCAUGAGUUGUUAGGAUAAUUGAUUUUUGAAUUAGUUUAGAUGUUGGAACAGACUGUUUGUUAAAUUAUUUUUUAGGUUAAUUUGCAUAAUUGUCUGUUUUGUUUGAUCUUUGUAUCCGCUUGAUUUUCCUGUUAUAGUUUGUUUAUAAACAUUAGAAAUUUGAGGAAGUUAAAUGAAAUAGGGAAAUUUAGGAGAAUCAUGUUUAACUGAUUGAGCAUUCUAGAAGUGAUCAUGUGGGAACUAAAUGCAAGGAAGUUAAGUCAAAUUGGGGGUUAAAGAAUAAAACAUAAAAGUAAAAGGGGCUAUAAAAUAGAGAAGAAUAUCUAAAUGGGACAGUUGUCGAAGUCUGUUGAGAAAAGAUGCAUUUUCCUUAUUUUUUAGGGAUGGCACAUGUUAAGUUGAUUAUCUAAUUUUUAAUAUAAAAGGACUCUCCCCCUGCAGAUACACACACUUUUUUCAUUCUGUACUUUAGAGAAUUGACACUCAUACUCACUGAUUUUCACUCGACUCACUAUUUCUGUACCUUUCCAGAUAAUUCACUCAUCUUCACUCUCAUUUUUAGUAAAGAAAUUUCUGGGAUUUCAGCCUUUUAAAUUUCAGAAGAAACAUAAAAAAAAGUAGAUGAAGGUUCUCUCAGUUUGUUUCUUUUGUUCUGCUAUUUGGCUUCACUUUUCUGGGUUCAGGAUUUGGCUUCAGCUUCAUUGCUGUUUUUCAGGUACUAACUUCAAUCUCGAAAUGUAAUUGUUGUCUUAACAUCCUCAUGCUAUAAAAUUUGCUGAAAUUUGUUUGUGUAUAUAUCGUUGAAUACUUUUCUCUGUCAUUGUGCAUCUCACGAUAAGUAGGUUUGGUAUAUAUUGAAUACAUAUGCCUAAAUAUUCAUAAAAUACUGAGCAUGAGAUUUGGUUCUACAGCUUACAUGAAGAACUCAUCGACUGAAUUUGUUGUUAAUUUGAAAAUGAUGUCGUAUGUGGAGUUUGGAUUGACUUACUAUCAGAUCUGUUAGUUAAUAAUUAGCACAUUAGGAUCAUUAAUAUUUGGCUUCGACAUUCGACCAAUACUUGGUUUGAUUCAGAGGCUUCACAGGUGCAAAAGUGGCUAUCUAUGUAAUAGUUAAUUUUAGUCGGAUAUUGUUUUAGAUUAGGAUUUGAAAGGUCUUUUAUAAUAUGGACAAAUUUUAUGAUAACUCAUUUGAAACUGGGCUUGUAAUAAUGUCUGUUUCCAGUGUUGCUUAAAUGCACAAAAAAACUGGUAUGCAAGAAAAUUGAAGUCAAAAGCCCGUAGUAAUUUUGAAUACUAUCUAUAGUUUGAUUCAGUUCAAAAAAUGUAAGUAAAACAACAGUUACAGUCAAUCUGGAUUGUUUUCCGUUCUGAACGAGUCGAUGGUGUAAUUCUAAAAUUGAAUAGUGCGUAUUCGUAUUUUCAGUUAAAUUUUGAAUUGUUUUCAUUCAUUUGUGAUGGUAUACCAAAAUUAUUUGUCAAACCAAAUUUGGACAUUAUUAGGCUUUCGUUCAGAGGCCAUUGGGCCUGAGGUCACAUAGUCCCAUAACAACCAUCUUUUAAAAUGCUCACAAGGGCAGAGC